Molecule: ribosomal RNA, 253 nt
Filed under: uncultured bacterium
Lineage: Bacteria
Description: partial 16S ribosomal RNA
Rfam family: Bacterial small subunit ribosomal RNA
Source: RNAcentral
UACGUAGGGGGCAAGCGUUGUCCGGAUUUAUUGGGCGUAAAGAGCGUGUAGGCGGCCAGGUAGGUCAGCUGUGAAAACUCGAGGCUCAACCUCGAGCUGUCGGCUGAAACCAUCUGGCUAGAGUCCGGAAGAGGAGAAUGGAAUUCCCGGUGUAGCGGUGAAAUGCGCAGAUAUCGGGAAGAACACCCGUGGCGAAGGCGGUUCUCUGGGACGGUACUGACGCUGAGGUGCGAAAGCGUGGGGAGCAAACAGG